CUACGAUAUAUAGAAUGUAUGUAUAUUUAUUUUGUUGCAAAUAAUACAAACAAAAUUUUGAUUUGAUAGAGCUUUAUAGAAAUAUUUCAUUACAUUUGAUAUGCCAAUAAUUUGUGAAAAAUAAACAAGUUGUCUUUCACUGGUUGACCUGUUGACCUGUUGUAAUUUGAAUACUAAUGUAUUUUUAUAUAAGUUUUGUUUGUGCAUAUUUAUAUUUGUUAUACUGUUUUAUUGAUAAAUGUAUAUACAUAUGUAAUGAAUAUUCAAACAGUUGAUCAUGAUGAUUGUAAUUGAAAAAAACUGCUGUCAUUUAUUUUUCAAACCUUAAUUUAUACACUAAGGCUGCUUCAAGAUGGUCUCAUGAGACCUGUGAUUUUGGGGGUUAGGUGGGCAAGCUUACAAUCCAACCUCUCAUUUAAAAGGACAUGUAACCUUAAAGAAUUUUCAAAACCAAGAAUAAGAUCAGUAAAAACUGUAUAGUUUGCUGUCCUGAGUCAGUGACCUGGGUCUUGUUAUGUGCACAUUUCCUAAGAGCAAUAAUUAUAAUUUUUAGUUACAAUUUUGUAAAAGAGCUUUGCGAAUUCAAUUGAUAAAUUAAUUCUAAAAGGGAAGCAGUUAAUUUUUAGGUGUACUUGCAAUUGAUUGGCAGUUUUAUUAUUUUAAAUUCAUGUCUAUUUUUUAAACACUGUAAGGGAGCUACCAUUUGAUUUUUUAAUGGGGGGGGGGGGGGGGGAUGAAAUUUGAAAAAAAUAGGCAGGACAGGAGUUUUGAGUAAAAAAAAAGCAGGAUGAGACAAUUGCCAAAAAAAAAAGUCAGGACGACAAUUUAAAAAAAAAAAGUCAGGAAAAAAAAAAAAAAAAGCAGGACCAAACAGAGUGAAAAAUAAAAAGGCAGGACAGAGAUUACAGCUAAAAAAAUGCAGGACAAAAUUUUUCAUCCUAGCCCCCCCAUAAAAAUCAAAUGGUAGCUCCCUAAUAAAACCAAAUGAUUUGUUGCUGAAUUUUAAAAAUGUUUUUUAUGGGUUAAUAAUUAGAUAUACUAUUUUUAAAUUGAUGUUGUUGAUGAUUUUUGUUAUCAAUGUUAUAUGUUUGCAUCAUUUAGUGGCUAUAUUUGUUUUCUUAUACUACAUUUAAAAAUACCAUUGAAUGUGAAUAAGCUGAUUACAUAUUACUCCCUGUAUACCAUUCCUGUAUGAUUAUUUGAUUGAACAUGUGCCGAUGAAUUUCCCUCAUUUAAAAUUUUAAAGAUAAUCGGUGAUUUCCUUUUUUUCCCCCAAAAAGAAAAAAUAAGAUCACAUCUUCAUGAUCAUUGGUUGAAAGUCCCUGAGUUAAGAAUUUUAAAAUAAGAAAAAUUUUCACCAACAUCAACAUUUCAGUGUACUAAUCAGAAAGCAAUAAUGUAUAUCAUGCAUCAGAUUCUGAAUUGGCAAUUAGUUAUAGUUAAUAAUUGAAGAUCAGACUAGACCACCUUUCUAUAGACAUGUUUUCAAGUUUUUGCUUGACCACCUUUCUAUAGACAUGUUUUCAAGUUUUUGCUUGACCACUGAUGGAAAAUGUUUCAUGUCACAGGCAAAAAGUGAUAGUUGUGCAAACUUCAUGAGGUCAAUUGACACAGAAUUGAGGUAUACAUUAGAGAUAAUGAAAAUAAUUUUGCUUUGAUGUGAACCUGAGCUCAAAAUAUUUAAUUUUUAAUCUGGAAUUAGAUAUUGAAUUUCAAUGCUAUUUGUAAAUGUGGUGUAAUUAUUAUUUUUGUUUUAUCAUUACAUUGUUUGAGUGCUUUGUUUAUAUUGCUUCAGAUCAUUCCGUAUUGUUGUUAGUGCUUCUGGGUCUUUUUUAUCUUUGUUGGUUUACAGAUACAGUCACUGAAAUUUUGGAAAUAAAAAUAGUACCUGUUUUUUUUUUUAUUUAUUAUUUUUUAUAUAUAUUUUUAUUACUUCCUUUAUGUAUAGCCAGAAUGAAAAAUGUACGGGUUACUUUUCAUUUCUCAAAAAACCUACUCCAGUUAAUGUUUUCAUUAGGACUUUUGGUAUUGACAAGUGAAUAAUGAUGAAAUUAUGGGUUUCCUCAUAACCUCAAUGUAAAAGAUUAAAAAAGGGAGCAAAAUGAUAACGAAUUCCUAUCGGAACCGAUAGUAAAAUGCAUGGUAGAUUAAAUGGACUCAAUCUACAAUGAUUAUCUUAUUCAAUGAAAAUCUACAAUGAUUAUCUUAUUCAAUGAAUUGGAAUAAAAUAAUAAUUUAUUUUAAAAAAGGAGAUGUGGUAUUAUUGCCAAUGAGACAACUAUCCACCAAAGUUCAAAUGAAGUGGAUAUAAGCAAUUAUAGGCAACUAUAUGGCCAUUAAAACUGAGAAAAAUGUAUAGUCUGCUAUAAAAGGCACCAACAUAAAAAUAUGAAACAAUUCAAUUGAGAGAACUAACAACCAAAUGUUUACUUUUGGUUCCUUAGAAGAUAAGAAGACUAUGUACAGAUUAGUUUUUUUACCACAUUCCGGACAUCAAUCUUAAUUGACUAGGAUUGUCAGUUUUCCUAUUGAAGGUCAGUGGUUUUCUCCGGCCACUCGUGACAUAUUUAAUGGAAAAUCUGUAAACCAACAAAAAUAUUUGAAAGUCUUGUAAGAUUUUUGUGUUCAUGUGAGAACACUAUAAACACAGAGAAAAGUUAAUGUGAAAUAGUUUUGUUACAAAUGUACUUAUAUUUAAUACAAGGUUAAUAAGAGGAUUUAUAAUUCUUUUGUCUCGUCUGUAUGUUGUAACUAUGUGGGAAUGACAAAAAUGAGAAGAUCUUCCAUACCAUUACUUCUCAUGUUGUUGAUUAAGAUUUUCAAUAAAAACCUGCCAGAUUUUUUAAAACCUGCUCCUUUGUCAUGUUGGAUUUUUUCUAUUGUAACAUAAAAAAUUUACAUGUGAUCCUCCUAAAGAUGCCUUUUGAUAAGAUGCAGCUUGUUACAACUGCGAACAAUAGAAUUCAAUACAUCAUGUAUCAGAAAUUCUACCUUAAUCCAACAAGGGUGGAGAGAAAGGCACCGAAUCGUAACCCUUUGCUAGCGAAGAUGGCUUUUUGUAGGGUUGGACUUUUUCUAUUGUGGCAUUAAAAAUUUAUUUGAACGUUUGUGAUGUCCAGUCAUGUAGGACAAAUAAAGAUACAGGUAUAGUAUUUUAAAAUUUUACAUAACCCACCGUUGACAAAAUAUAAUGACAAAACCCACCUGAACUAAAGGUUAGACUAUUCAAGAAAUCCCUGAUAUCUGAAGGCCCCUUGUUUUUAGACUUGCUUCGGGCAGGGGACCACACCUUUAGCCAGUUCCCAAAAAUAGC
This 3313-nucleotide long non-coding RNA is filed under the name Mytilus galloprovincialis (Mediterranean mussel). Lineage: Eukaryota; Metazoa; Mollusca; Bivalvia; Mytilida; Mytilidae. The record is from RNAcentral.